ACAGGUAUGAUGAAAUUGGUAAACAUAUUAGACUUAGACUCUAAUUACUUUAAUGUUCUUGAGGGUUCGAGUCCCUCUACCUGUA
This 85-nucleotide transfer RNA is filed under the name Tayloriella tenebrosa. RNAcentral describes it as "tRNA-Leu". It matches the Rfam family "tRNA". Rfam says of the family: Transfer RNA (tRNA) molecules are approximately 80 nucleotides in length. Their secondary structure includes four short double-helical elements and three loops (D, anti-codon, and T loops). Lineage: Eukaryota; Rhodophyta; Florideophyceae; Ceramiales; Rhodomelaceae. The record is from RNAcentral.